Molecule: long non-coding RNA, 443 nt
Organism: Leptonychotes weddellii (Weddell seal)
Lineage: Eukaryota; Metazoa; Chordata; Mammalia; Carnivora; Phocidae
Source: RefSeq, a predicted model, not a curated record
UAAAAAAAUGUGUCACUGUACAGCUGGAAGAUAAUGUUUCACAUUCACAACAGAAGUACCAAAGGUUUUUUUUCCUCUUAACAAGCAUCGAGAAUAAUAGGUUUUAAAAAAAGAGAGAGAGAGAGAGAGCUUAGAGAAAAAAGUUUUCCCAACUUCUCAUUCCGCCUUCAGUUCCAGACUUCAGAGUCACCGUGAUCAGAGCUACAAUGUGGAGAUUUUAAAGUCAAAGUGUGAUCUGAGUUUCGCUGAAAGCAUCAUGAUCCCAAGCGUUAAAGAUCCAGAGCUACUCUAAUUUCCACAUGACAACUGCAAUGUGGGAAUGUGUCUUCACUGAGUCAAAUGGACAUAUAAAGUGGAUUAGUGCUAGCAAAAGACAGCUGAUGAUGUAAAUAUUCAGUUAUGACUUUGUGGGUCAAUAAAAAUAUUUAUGUCACAUGUUUUAA